AACAAUGCAAUGACAAACAGACAGACAGACAGACAGACAGCCUUAACCUUUUUGAGUAAUGAAGUAACAAUGCAGUGUUUUGAGGAGCAGUGACAAACAGACAGACAGACAGACAGUAACUCACCCUUAGGUCACUUCUUUGCCGCAGUGAGCUCAUUCACAGGUCAGCCCAGGAGAGGAGAGGUAGAAAGUGAAGAUUUUGUAGGAAGAAAGAUAGUUUUAUCCCAAUCCAACCCAGACACACCCAGACCUAGCUUAACCAGACCCAACCCAGUAUUCAGAGCAGGCACAAAGUCAUGACCUAACUUAACCUAACACAGUAUUCAAGGCAGGCAGAAAGUUAAGAUUUUGUUAGAAGGAAGUUAAAAUUUGAUCCCAACCCAACCCAGACAAGACCUAACCUGACUUAACACAGUAUUCAAGACAGGCAGAAAAUUAAAAUAUUGUUAAGGGACACAUAAAUUUUAUUGCAACACAGACCAGACCAGACCUAACCCAACCUAACCUAACCAGACCUAACCUAAUAUUCAAUACACAAGAAAGUUGACGUUUUGAAGGUGUACAAGUCAAGAUUCCUAUGGUAACCCAACAGCCAGACAAGACCAGAACCUCCCCUCUCCCCGCCCCCCACCUCCCUAGCGUGCAUGCCAGCAGCCUCCCAGCCUCCCAGUGUGCACGAGAAGACCCGUACCUGUGUGUGCGUGUAUGUAUGUGUGCGCGUGUGUCUGGUCCCUACUUCCAAGAUUCUCAUUCGUCUAAUGGCAGACGAAAAAAAAAAAAAAGACAGAGGUUGUGGGUGUGUCUGUACGUGUGUGCUUGCGUGGGGAAAUUUGGAUCCUUUCAAAGAUUCCUCACUCCACUCACUCCAAUACAACACAAACAAGAAAACCUAACCAAAACAAACCUGCCUGCCCCCCUGUCCCCCUUCCCCCUUUUUUUAAAUUUGUAAGAAAUGCCAUUUUUCAUAUCUUUAAGUCUGAAUAGGAAGAAGAAGGAAAGAAAGAAAGAAAUGUUACUAUUUGGUUGAAUGGAAAAUUAUUUUAUGGAGAAAUUUAUCAAUCUUUUUAUUAUUUGAAGUCAUUUAUUAUUAUAGCAACAUGUUAUGAAAAUAAAUAUACCAGCUAUACAAUCCACCUGUUUGUUUAUGUUCCUUGCAGGGAGGAGGGAAACUGGAGAGUGGAGGGAAAAAAGAUGGAGGGGAAAAAAUGAUUGAUGGAGAGAAAGUAAAAGAAAUGGAAGGAAAAGUACAGGAGAGAUGGAGAGAAGGGGGGAAAAAAUAAGGGGAGGAAAAAUACUGGAGGUGAGAAAAUACUUGAUGGAUGGAGAGAAAACUAAGAUAUGCAAGACAAAUAGUGCAGAGAUGGAGAGAAACAUACUUGAUGGAGAUGAAGGGAAAAAUAAGGGAAAAGUGGAAACAAAAAUACUUGGAGGAAAAAAUAUUGCAGUGAAGGAGAGAAAAUACUGGAGACAUGGAGA
Scylla paramamosain (green mud crab) is the source of this 1476-nucleotide long non-coding RNA. RefSeq lists it as uncharacterized. Lineage: Eukaryota; Metazoa; Arthropoda; Malacostraca; Decapoda; Portunidae. The transcript is spliced from 2 exons. The record is from RefSeq and is a predicted model, not a curated record.